GACGAACGCUGGCGGCGUGCUUAACACAUGCAAGUCGAACGGAAAGGCCCUGCUUUUGUGGGGUGCUCGAGUGGCGAACGGGUGAGUAACACGUGAGUAACCUGCCCUUGACUUUGGGAUAACUUCAGGAAACUGGGGCUAAUACCGGAUAGGAGCUCCUGCUGCAUGGUGGGGGUUGGAAAGUUUCGGCGGUUGGGGAUGGACUCGCGGCUUAUCAGCUUGUUGGUGGGGUAGUGGCUUACCAAGGCUUUGACGGGUAGCCGGCCUGAGAGGGUGACCGGCCACAUUGGGACUGAGAUACGGCCCAGACUCCUACGGGAGGCAGCAGUGGGGAAUAUUGCACAAUGGGCGGAAGCCUGAUGCAGCAACGCCGCGUGCGGGAUGACGGCCUUCGGGUAGUAAACCGCUUUCGCCUGUGACGAAGCGUGAGUGACGGUAAUGGGUAAAGAAGCACCGGCUAGCUACGU
Molecule: ribosomal RNA, 467 nt
Filed under: uncultured bacterium
Lineage: Bacteria
Description: partial 16S ribosomal RNA
Rfam family: Bacterial small subunit ribosomal RNA
Source: RNAcentral